UACGUAGGGUGCAAGCGUUAAUCGGAAUUACUGGGCGUAAAGCGUGCGCAGGCGGUUCGUUAAGUUCGUUGUGAAAGCCCCGGGCUCAACCUGGGAACUGCAAUGGAAACUGGCGGGCUUGAAUGCGGCAGAGGGGGGUGGAAUUCCGCGUGUAGCAGUGAAAUGCGUAGAGAUGCGGAGGAACACCGAUGGCGAAGGCAGCCCCCCUGGGCCGAUAUUGGACGCUCAGGCACGAAAGCGUGGGGAGCAAACAGG
Molecule: ribosomal RNA, 255 nt
Filed under: uncultured bacterium
Lineage: Bacteria
Description: partial 16S ribosomal RNA
Rfam family: Bacterial small subunit ribosomal RNA
Source: RNAcentral